GAUGAAGAACGUAGCGAAAUGCGAUACUUGGUGUGAUUGCAGAAUCCCGUGAACCAUCGAGUCUUUGAACGCAAGUUGCGCCCGAAGCCAUUAGGCCGAGGGCACGCCUGCCUGGGCGUCACACGUCGUUGCCCCCCCAUCUACUCCUUCGGGAUUGCGGGGGGCGGAUGAUGGCCUCCCGUGCGCCUCGUCGCGCGGUUGGCAUAAAUGCCAAGUCCUCGGCGACGCACGCCACGACAAUCGGUGGUUGCGAAACCUCGGUUGCCCGUCGUGUGCGGUCGUCGCGCAUCGAGGGCUCGAAAAAAUUGCCGGGCUCCGGCUCGACUUUCAACGCGACCCCAGGUCAGGCGGGGUUACCCGCUGAAUUUAAGCAUAUCAAUAAGCGGAGGA
Molecule: unclassified non-coding RNA, 390 nt
Filed under: soil metagenome
Description: partial contains 5.8S ribosomal RNA, internal transcribed spacer 2, and large subunit ribosomal RNA
Rfam family: 5.8S ribosomal RNA (bases 1-121)
Source: RNAcentral